Long non-coding RNA from Vitis riparia (riverbank grape), 309 nucleotides. RefSeq lists it as uncharacterized. The transcript is spliced from 4 exons. NCBI's taxonomy places the organism in Eukaryota, Viridiplantae, Streptophyta, Magnoliopsida, Vitales, Vitaceae. The record is from RefSeq and is a predicted model, not a curated record.
CUUUGUGCAUAUGGUGGCUAUGGCGUGACACUGGAACAACUUCAAUGCUUAGUAGGGGAGAGCUUCAUUGAUAUUCCGGUGAUUUCCAUGUUUUGCCGAUACAUGAAUGCAAAAGAAGAGAAUCCUUGUCGCAGACACUUUUUUAAUCCAUACUUUGGGAUGUCAUACUGGGAUGUAUGCUAUUCUCUAUAUGCAACAUUGGGAUGGAAGUGGUCUUAAUAGAACCAUUAAUUCUGAACACAUGAGCCUUGAAAGAUUGAAAUUUGCAACUCAUAUGGUUCUUGAUAGCGAAAACGAAAUUGGUGAAAU